RNAcentral lists this ribosomal RNA (425 nucleotides) under uncultured bacterium. Its description in RNAcentral is "bacterial SSU rRNA". It matches the Rfam family "Bacterial small subunit ribosomal RNA", at positions 356 to 773 of the family's 1533-position model. The record is from RNAcentral.
GGGGGAUAUUGCACAAUGGAGGAAACUCUGAUGCAGCAACGCCGCGUGAGGGAAGAAGGCCUUCGGGUUGUAAAGCACUUUCAGCGGGGAGGAAGGCGGUGAGGUUAAUAACCUCACCGAUUGACGUUACCCGCAGAAGAAGCACCGGCUAACUCCGUGCCAGCAGCCGCGGUAAUACGGAGGGUGCAAGCGUUAAUCGGAAUUACUGGGCGUAAAGCGCACGCAGGCGGUCUGUCAAGUCGGAUGUGAAAUCCCCGGGCUCAACCUGGGAACUGCAUUCGAAACUGGCAGGCUAGAGUCUUGUAGAGGGGGGUAGAAUUCCAGGUGUAGCGGUGAAAUGCGUAGAGAUCUGGAGGAAUACCGGUGGCGAAGGCGGCCCCCUGGACAAAGACUGACGCUCAGGUGCGAAAGCGUGGGGAGCAAAC